This 382-nucleotide ribosomal RNA is filed under the name Amblyomma dissimile (iguana tick). Its description in RNAcentral is "partial large subunit ribosomal RNA". Lineage: Eukaryota; Metazoa; Arthropoda; Arachnida; Ixodida; Ixodidae. The record is from RNAcentral.
UUUUAAAUUGCUGUAGUAUUUUGACUAUACAAAGGUAUUGUAAUAAGACUUUAAUUGAGUGCUAAAAGAAUGGAAUUACAAAAAAAGGCUUUUUUAAUUUUAAAAAUUAAAAUUAUUUUUUUUUGUGAAGAAACAAAAAUUUAAAUUAAAGACAAGAAGACCCUAAGAAUUUUUUUUUUUAUUAAAAUAAUAUUUUAUUUUAAAAAUUUAAUUGGGGCGAUUAAUUAAUAUUAAAAACUUUAUUAACAAAAAAAAAUGAUCCAUUAUUAAUGAUUAUUUGAUUAAAAUACUCUAGGGAUAACAGCGUAAUAAUUUUUGAUAGUUCUUAUAGAAAAAAUAGUUUGCGACCUCGAUGUUGGAUUAGGAUUCUUUUUUAAUGAAG